CGAUAGCGGCAAGAUGGCGGACCGUGGCGGCUUGAGUGAAGCCGCGGCUACUGGAGCGUCUCCUGCAUCUGUCCCUGGCCUAAACCCGACGCUAGGCUGGAGGGAGCGACUGCGGGCCGGGCUGGCGGGGACUGGGGCCUCGUUGUGGUUCGUGGCGGGGCUGGGGCUGCUUUACGCUCUGAGGAUCCCUUUGAGGCUGUGUGAGAAUUUGGCAGCGGCGACUGUAUUUUUAAAUUCAUUGACACCCAAAUUCUAUGUGGCACUUACAGGGACAUCUUCACUGAUAUCAGGACUAAUAUUUAUAUUUGAAUGGUGGUACUUCCAUAAGCAUGGCACAUCUUUUAUUGAGCAAGUAUCUGUAAGCCAUUUGCAACCACUGAUGGGAGGAACAGAGAGCAGCAUUUCAGAACCAGGUUCUCCUUCGAGGAACAGAGAAAGUGAAACCAGCAGACAGAAUUUGUCAGAUGGAGUUUCACUCUUGUUGCCCAGGCUGGAGUGCAAUGGCACGAUCUUGGCUCACUGCAACCUCCACCUCGCAGGUUCAAGCGAUUCUCCUGCUCCAGCCUCCCGAGUAGCUGGGAUUACAGGCACCUGCCACCAUGCCAGAGUAAUUUUUGUAUUUUUAGUAGAGAUGGGUUUUCGCCAUGUUGGCCAGACUGGUCUCAAACCCCUGACCUCAGAUGAUUCAUCCACCUCGGCCUCCCAAAGUGCUAGGAUUACAGGCAUAAGCCACCAGGCCCGGCCCGUUCUGUCUUCUUUUCUUUCAACAUCCAUAGCACCAUAUCUAGGCCCUUAAACAUCUCUUCCCUGGGCUAUUGCUA
RNAcentral lists this small RNA (821 nucleotides) under Pongo abelii (Sumatran orangutan). RNAcentral's name for it is "processed transcript". Lineage: Eukaryota; Metazoa; Chordata; Mammalia; Primates; Hominidae. The record is from RNAcentral.